CCUACGGGAGGCAUCAGUGGGGGAUAUUGCACAAUGGGGGGAACCCUGAUGCAGCGACGCCGCGUGGGUGAAGAAGCGCCUCGGCGCGUAAAGCCCUUUCAGCAGGGAAGAAAAUGACGGUACCUGUAGAAGAAGCCCCGGCUAACUACGUGCCAGCAGCCGCGGUAAUACGUAGGGGGCAAGGGUUAUCCGGAUUUACUGGGUGUAAAGGGGGAGCAGACGGCGUUGCAAGUCAGGAGUGAAAGCCCGGUGCCCAACCCCGGGACUGCUCUUGGAACUGGGUGGCUGGAGGGCAGGAGGGGCAGGCGGAAUGCCUGGUGUAGCGGUGAAAUGCGUAGAUAUCAGGAGGAACACCGGUGGCGAAGGCGGCCUGCUGGACUGCAACUGACGUUGAGGCGCGAAAGCGUGGGGAGCAAACAGGAUUAGAUACCCCUGUAGUC
RNAcentral lists this ribosomal RNA (440 nucleotides) under uncultured bacterium. Its description in RNAcentral is "partial 16S ribosomal RNA". It matches the Rfam family "Bacterial small subunit ribosomal RNA", at positions 338 to 795 of the family's 1533-position model. The record is from RNAcentral.